GCCAUUUUGCAUGCCGGACGACUUUCUCUGGGUGAAAAUUUCCUCAAAUUUCUCCGCGUUUCUCCGCCGAAUUUCUCUAACGACCGAGGUUCUUCAGUCCUUUGAUUCUGUAGAACUCUCCCGUGUAUAAUUGAGCGGUAUUUUACCGCGCGGUUGUCUGUUUUUUACCGAGUUUUUGUCCGGUUAGUGCGCGUCGGUGGAAGUCGCCAUGCCGCAGAGCAACGUGCUCCCUUUGUGGGGGAACGAUAAGACGAUGAACCUGAACUCGCUCAUCCUCACCAACAUCCAGUCUUCUCCCUACUUCAAGAACGACUUGUUCCAGCUCAAGACGUACCACGAGGUCAUAGACGAGAUCUACUACAAGGUGCAGCACCUUGAACCAUGGGAGAAGGGCAGCAGGAACACAGGCGGCCAGACCGGGAUGUGCGGGGGGGUCCGUGGUGUAGGGGCGGGUGGUAUCGUGUCCACAGCGUACUGUCUGCUGUACAAACUCUUCACCCUGAAGCUGACACGGAAACAGGUGAACGGCCUCCUCCAGCAUGGCGACUCCCCGUACAUCCGCGGGCUGGGCUUCAUGUACAUCAGAUACACCCAGCCCCCCGCCGACCUGUGGGAAUGGUACGAGCCGUACAUCGAUGAUGACGAGGAGCUGGACGUGAAGGCGGGUACCGGCUGCAUGAUGACAGUAGGAGAGAUGCUGCGCAGCUUCCUCGGUAAGAUCGAGUGGUUCUCCACCCUGUUCCCCCGCAUCCCCGUCCCCAUACAGAAGGACCUGGAGGGCAAGCUGGCCUCCCGACCGUUGCUACGGAAACGCCCCGCCCCUGAUGCAGAGGAGGAGGUGGAGGAGGAGGCUGCGGAGCACAUCCCGGACGAGGAGGUGUCGUGGGGCGAGGCGGAGCGCCGAUCGCGGGCACGCCGGAGCAGGUCCUCUAGCAGGGAGGCCACAAAGCCCACCUCCCGCACUUCCAGCCCAGCGCAGAAGAAACGGACGGACUUCGAGCGAGACCUGGAGCGCGAGAGAGACCGCCAGCGCCGGGAGAAGGAGCGCCCUCGUAGCCGGAGCUCGGACAGGCCCCGGGAGCGCCGACGCAGCCGAAGUCGCGAGAAGAAACGCAGCAAGAGCCAAGACAAGCAGUCUCCGAGCAAGUCUCGCGACCGGAGGGACCGGCGGCGAUCACGUAGCCGAGAACGGAAGCGGUCACGCAGCAGGGACCGUAGACAGCGGUCACGAAGCCGCGACAAGAAGCGUUCCCGUAGCCAGGACCAGGACGGCAGACGGGAGUCCGACAAACGCGAGAGGAAACAACACCGUUCGCGCAGCCGCGAGCGCAAAGAACGGUCCGGCUCGAAGGAUCAUCACAAGGAGCGCUCGGGCUCCAAACACAAGGACGGACGCUCGUCGGAACACAGAGACGUUUCUCGCAAGGAGAAGAAACAAAGGAAAGACAGGGAGUCCAGAGACAGGGACAGACACAAGGAGAGGAGGCGUAGUCGUUCACGGAGCAGAGAUCGUUCGCACAAGCACAGCAGAGGGGACGACAGGCGAAACGCACACCAGGGCUCCGACAAUGAUGUAGAGGAGGGACAGAUAGACGAUGUACAAAAUUCCAGCUAGGUCCUUUAAGUCAUCCUGUUUAUAAUAUACACACUAGAGGUGAGGAAUCAUAGUCCAAGAAAAUUUGUACAGGAAGAUCCUUUCAUUGCUCCAAGAUUUUGUUGGAAUUCGUUAGAUUUUAUACAGCCUCCCAACUAGGGUAGCACAGACUAAAUUCCAUGGACGUCAUUUAGGCCUGCUUUGAUUCUUUCCUGUGUCCUGAAAAACAAAAUGUUUGCAGUGAAAUCAACUCAUCAAAGUUGUAUCGAAAAGAAUGUCCCUUUAUUCAGAUAAUUUCGUUCCUUCAAAAGAUACCCCUCAUAGAAUCAAGCCUAUGUAACCCAAGUGAUGACAAACCACAACACAGAAUGUUUUCAUCGUUAUUUUUUCUCUUGUUAAGCUAGACAUCAAACUAACGCACCCUUCUCAUGUGUAGUUUGAGUUCCACAGACGACCAAAGCGAUGUUAUUCCAUGUAACCAGCUUCUAAGGACCAAGUGCAAAAGGAGCAAUUUUGUAUUGUUUUCUGUUGAAGUUAAGCCAGAACAUGUUACCAUACCUCAGUGUUCGUAAGCUUCAGGCAUCUGUCUGGAUUCUUGAUAAAUGUGUAACCGUUAAUGUUAGUCUUUUGAUGCGUUAUUCAGGCCAUUCCGUUGUGUUUUUUUUAUAUAGAGAGGGUGUGGUAAAUGUGUAUGUAAAUAGAUGGUGUGAAGAAAUUGAACUGAAGAUAUGAAAAGCACGAAAAUACAGAUUCACAAUUUUUUCUUUACAUAUCUUGCCAUUUGCCCCCAAACAACUGGGUUUAAUGUAUUUUGAUGCAGCUGGAUGGAAGCACAAAUGUACAAACACUUUUUACCCACAGUCUCUUUCACCACAUGAAGUAUGGUACAACAAAAAGAACCAGUUGAACAACAGUUGAGCAAGGCUCUGUCUUCCGGUUGCCCCCCUCCCCAGUCUGUUGUACAGAUGUGUGUUUUGUACUCCCAGCUGGAAGUGUAAAGCGAGGGAGAGAGAGAAUCUGAUAUGUAAAUGUCUGACCACGAACACUGUGCCUGAGGAUGAUAGGAAGCCUACGGCACCUGAUGUAACAUUUCCGAACUGAAAAAGAAGGAAUAGAAUAGGAUAGAUUCUGUCAGGAUAAGGAUUGAAGAGAAAAGUAGUAGUAUCAGUUAUUUGAUUAUACUGCUACUGGGAUCCCUGACAUGGGUAGGCAACAGUUGGAUAGCUGAAAAAGAAUCAGUGCUGAUAACUUUAAAUUUGAAAUGUUGGUUUCCAUGGUUUCUGGAUUUCACCGGCAAAAUCUUGUAAUCCUGCGGUUUCAAAAUGUCAGUGGAUGGACAGUUAAUUUUAUGUCUCAUUAUUAAGACAUGGCUGUCUUAACUUGCAUACAUGACAGAGACGGUCCGUUUGCCUACCAACACUUAAAAAGUUUGUGAUGGAUUCCAAAUCAACCAGCAUGUAAUGAAGCCCUGGUGGCUCAUUUGUAAAAAAAAAAACAGCAUUUGUGCACAGGAACCACUGUAAUGGAACCACUCGCUACUAGCUUUCAUGUGAAAGAGGCACCGAAAUGAAAGUGUCCAAUGAGAUGAAAAAUCUUAACGAAAACUCUGAGCAGACUUUGAUACACACUUGUAUGUAUGUAUGUAUGCUCCUACAAUCCCCCAGAUGUAUAUAUUUCAUAGAGUAGUUUUGGAGCUAUUGUAUGUAAGGGAAAACUGACCAAAGGAGGGGGGUGGUGAAAAAAAAUAUUGAUAACUUUUCUGUCUUUCUAGCUGUAGUCAAGAGAAUCGUUGUGUUAUCUUUAAAAUCACAAUGUGCAACAGUUUACUGUAGUCUUCAGUGCCGAGGUGUAAUAAUGUCUCAGACCAGAUUUCCUUGAUUUUUCAGACUUUUGUUGAGAAUUAUGUGUAAGUAACAACCAAGAUUGGAGGUAUUUGAUGAUUUUGUACUUUAGUGAUGAUGAUAUGAUGAUUGUGUAGUUUGUACUUUGAUUAUGUUGUUGAAGCCAUUGAGUUUGGAUGCAAACUUUACAGAGGAGAAUAAAUACCAGAUGUACGUACUGUU
This is an RNA transcript of Branchiostoma floridae (Florida lancelet), 3657 nucleotides long. It is a transcript of the gene named pre-mRNA-splicing factor 38B-like, with no coding region annotated. Lineage: Eukaryota; Metazoa; Chordata; Leptocardii; Amphioxiformes; Branchiostomatidae. The record is from RefSeq and is a predicted model, not a curated record. The transcript is spliced from 7 exons.